UGUCGGCCCAUGUACAACGCGUAUUGAAACGCAGCGCCCAGACUUCAACUAAUCUGCCCUCAAUAAAGCUGAAAUAAUUAUCCUAAGCUGCCUUUCCAGAAGAAAAAUCAUUGAGGAAUUCAAAACUUUUUUUUAAAAGAUCUUUUCUACAUUCCGAUGCAGAUCUGGGGGCGCGGCGCCGGGUACACACCACUCAGGAGAGCUCAAUGAGGGAGGAGUGGAAAAAAAAAAGAAGUUGUGGGAGAAUUUAAACGUGAACUCAACUGGAGGCUGGAGCCAAAAUGGUCGCAGGCCCUAAAUCUCAAGCUCGGAUCUUCCUUAGGCCUUGAUCCGACAGUGCCAGGUUUUAAAGGGCCGAGGAGUGCAAACUCGAUUUGAGGGUGACACCGAAUGUUUGGGUUGGGCUAGGGGACUAUACUGGCUCUUUAGCAGGAGGCAGCUCAGGGGGCCUAAACUCGCUGACCAGGGCAGAAGAAUGUUCACCCUAAAAGGUAGAUCCGUCGAGCCCCACUUUUGGCGGUCUCUCUCCAAACAUCUUCAUCUGCACCAGGAGUGCUUUUCCGCUCAACUGCAAGGCUCUGGGCGGUCGCUCUUUGCAGGCCCAGAAAGAGCCCAAAGGUUGGGACACAAAAACAGACACUUCAUCUUUUCUUCCGGACCCCUUUCUCUUGUAGGGGGAAGGAUUAUAGACUGAAAGGUGGGAGGGAGAAGGGGCAGGAGGAGGAAGCGGGGGGAGGAAGGAAUGAAAAAGGGGAGGGGAGUGGGUAUUGUGCCGCGUGUGGAGGGGGAGAAUUCCUACGGGUGGGUUUCCGAAUAUUGUGUUCAACUUUUUGAAAGCAGCUCGUGACCCCGAAACUGCAUCCCCCGGAGCCGGGGACCCAGGCGCCAGGCGGGCGGGUGAACCCGGCCAGUCCCUCCCAAUCCCCGCAACCCCCCGCCUCCGAGUGGGGGGGAUCCAGGCCUGGAGGGAGGCUGGGCAGGUGCCGAGGGCUGUGCCGAAAGCGCUGAAAUCGAAAACCCUCGCCACUCAGGAAGAACUGAGGCAAAAGGAUCACAGAUGCUGCUCGGGGCCAGCCCUAUACUCCCUCCAGUGCCUGGACUCCCGUGGACCCGCGGGGCUCUGCAGUUCUCAGACGGCCGCGCCUUGUGAGCGCUAAGCCGGGAGGAGGGCGCAGGCAGGGCGCACAGCUCUGAGCGCGCCCCUACCCGGCUCGGGCCCGCAGCAGCCCCGACUGUCCGAGAGCCUCUCCGCAAGCAAGGCUCUGCGCCGCCCUCUGAGCCCACCUCCUGGCCACAACGCCGCCUGCGCUUCUCCAGCCCAGGCCGGAAGCCCUACGCUGCCUCCUGAAGCCGGACUUUCUGGAAGCCCAUCUCCGUAUGCUCACCAGCCCACCCUCCUACGCUGGUCAGAGUGAGAUUGCUAACCUCAAGACCCCAUUCAAUGCCAGCUUUCAACUGCUGCUGAAGACCAAUGUAGGUCCUGGAUUAGAAGAACCGCAGAGUGUAAGUCUAUUUGACCGGCCCCUCCUCCCUUCCCUCCUUCCAUUCAGCUCCACUCCCGUGCCCAGCCCCCAUUCCAUUCCACGACCCCCUUAACUAAGCCCAAGCAUAAACUCCAGGAUCAUCUCUGAGCCGGACGACAGUAGUGUCCAGGUCACGAUCCGUUCUAAGGGCAAAAGCAGCGGCAGAAAAGUCAGGGGCGGGUGCUCUAGGAGAGAGGGAGACCUGAAGCGGAGGGUAGGAUUCAGUUCGGAGCCCACCGGCUGCUGAGGGGAGGAGGCGAAAGGAGGGGGUUGGGAGUCCACCGGCAUUGGGUCGGGGCAGCAGGGACUUCAGGCGGCGGCGUGGGGGGCUAGAUCCGGAGGAGAGGGGAGGGGUGGCGGGGGUCGGAGGAGCACGCAGGGCGGAGGGGUGUGGGGCUCUUUAAGAGCCACACGGCUAGCAGGAGAGGCGUGCGGCCCUGUGCUGGUAGCGCACUGACCCCGAAGGGGAUUUAGCGGGAAGGGAGCGACCGGGUUCUGGGGGCUUUGUCCGGGGGCGCCCAGAAAGGCCGAGGCACAAGAAUAAGAAGCGGCUGCAGCGUGAAAGGCUGCGAGGAGCGGCGGCGCUGCUGCUCUUGACUUCUGAGCAGGGCUUAGAAGGCCUGCCCCGGCUUAAGCUGAACUGAGGGUGCAGAGUCCUGAACGCCGAGUUCACGAGCCCUGAGUCCUGGCCUCUAGGCUGAGGAGGCGUGGGAUAGGGGCGGACGCUGGAGUAGUGGGUCUUCUUGCGACAACCCCUUCGUGGAUCUUACAGCCUUGCUACCCUAGCGCAAGGUUGUUAGCCUAGCCCGCCGCGUCUGGCAUAGCCAAAGAAAUUUACUUUCCCAGCUUGGCUUUUGCUUUUGUGUGUCCACCUCGAGCAGAUCCGGAGCUGGCCGACCCCAGACUGAUUCUCAACAGGUGGCUGGGUAGUGCCCCCCCCCCUGCUCUGUGUUGGUCGUGCCGGGACCCAUCGCACACAGAGAAGCCACCUUACCCCUCACCUCACCCCGUCGGCCCAAAGACUGACCACCCUCGCCCGAGUCGGGGGGUGGGGUGGGAAUCCCGGAUCACACACACACACACACACACACACACACACACACACACCAGGGUAGGGGAACAGGGAGGAUCUUACCUGCAGAAAGGUAAGAGAAGCCGGGAGCGUGUAGCAGCGGCGGAUAAAUAUUCAUUAGGAAGUGUAAGUCCUUUCAAAGGGCUCCGCGCGCGCGCGCGCUCUAGCUCCUGUCUCUUUCCCUCCCUCUGUCCUCCAGGAAGGCUUCCCCUCCUCUAGCUAUCUCAACGCCCCCCCCCCCUUCCUGCGAAAUACCGGGUGGAUCCUAGGCUAGCUAACCUGUUGGGAAGCCUGAACUGCGGCAGCGCCUCUGCAGCUAGCAGUUUGCUUUCGCUCCUGGGGCGCGCGUCCCCCCCCCAUCCCCUCCCCUCCUUCCUUUCGCCCAGCCCCUCACCCCUCCUAAAUUACUACAUCAUUAGCUUUAUUGGGCGGGGGGGGGGUGGCGGGUAACGGAGCAGCCAGACGCACCUCUCCAUAGAAGGGUGAAUAGUUGGUGCCCUGCGAUGCAACCCCAACUCCAUCUCCACCUCAUUCUCACCCAUCUGCACAUCCUCAUCCAAUCUUGCUUCUUUUUCUUCGCUCUUUCCACCUCCACCUCCAUCCUGUGUCAACCUAACUCCCUCAGCAGCCCUCCCACCCGCCGCCGCCAAUCCGGAUCACAGAUUGGGUUGGGAGUGAGAUUGCAAGGCUGUUAGGUCCGAAGGUCCUGUGUGUCGAGGUUAGAACUCCUCCCUGCCGUGAGUAUGGGGUGGUUAUCAAGAUCUCCUUCUCCUUCCUGACCCUGCAAGGUUACCAAACAGCCUGGACUUUUGAAUCAGAUCUCUGGAGCGAGCAUUAAGAACUCCAGCCAAACAGAUCUCAGGGCCUGGCCCUUUCACUCAGCCGCGGAGGCUGCUUGAGGGAUGGGGAGAGGUGACUUCACUCAGCGCCAACGCGCAGGAAAAACUCAUAGACGACAGUUGGACUAAUACUCGUCCUUUAAGAAUGCACUACCUGAAGUUAGUCGAAAGUCAUCUUCAAUCAAGGAAAGGAAAAAAAAAAAAAACCUCACAUCUAGAAGCUUCGCUGAAGCCACUUCCAACAGCACGCGAACAUGUUUGCGCACACCCUUCUCUGUGCACUCCCCAAUGCCUGCUCUCUCUCGGGCAGGUGAAAAUACAGGCUGCCCAGGCCAGAGGAGAGAAGGCGGCGGAGGAAUACAUCGCUUAGGGUUUUUUAGAAACUAGGAAUAACUGUUUUCAAUACUCUGCUCUGCUACCAGGACCUUAGGUCCUUCUUGGGACCCUGAAAAGUGGCUUUGCCCCACGAUGUGGGGGGGGGGGCAGUGACUCUAGCUCUGGCCCUCCUACUGGGAGCUUAAAGUUGGGGUGAAGGGCUUAAGGAGGAGCCGAGGGGGCGGGCCCUGUUAGUUUGCAGUUGUAAGUGCAGCUGUGCCUGGGACACCAAGAAAGAGAGUCUCACCCGCUAACGCUCCUGGUGCUUGCUUAGAGGUUCCCCGAGGUUAACUACGGGAGCUUCUGCUCUCUCCUGAGCCCCAGGCCAACACAGGACGAUGGUGGCCGGGAUGCCAGCCGACGCCUAAACUCAGUAAGACUUCAGUUGCCUCUCAUUUUGGCUGUUCAGAGCUAAUGUCUACCGGAGAAAGUUUUAGAAGUGGGUCGCACCCGUCCUGAAUCCACCCUGUGAGGUGGCAGAGGGUCAGAGGGUCACUUCUUCUUGUUAAAGGUUAGCAUAAUACUUACUAGGGUAGAGGAAGAUGUGGAGAAAAAAAAAAAAAGCCUACGGUGCCUAGGACUCUAACCACCUUACAGCUUACUCAAAGUUCAGAACCUCCCAUUGUACACCUUCUCUCCCCAACGCAGAUCCCUAAGGUCUCAUCUUCAUCUGUGUGUGUUCACAGAAGGUACAGUGUGCGAGAACACACUUAGGGAAAUUUUAGGAACGCUAACCACAGUCCUGGAGGAAUAAAGAUGUGGCGAAGGAAUGGAUCGAGUGCAUGAACACAUACACCUUGUUGUCCAGAUGCAGACAAAAGCUACCAUGUCCGCUUGGAGUGACACCCAGACAUGCACAGAGAUGUACAGGAAGCCAAGGAGAGUGGGAUCAAUCAGAGUACAGUACAAGUACAGAGUACAGUGCAAGAUGCCCAGGGACCCUGGAGAAAAACCUUUGUUGACUCUUCUGUAUGGAAAGUUUCUGAAGAAAGGGCCAAGGAAUGAUCUGCCCCGGAGGCUGCCUUUAGGCUCCCAUACCUGCUCUGUUGGAGACACCCAGAAGAGGCCAGUACGCCAAAGACUUUUUGGUUUGGUUAUUUCUGUUGCUUGUUGUCUUUUUUCAUCCUUUGCCUGGGAAGUUGUGCUCUGGAAGAGGGCUUGAGUAGACAGCACAGGCCUCCAGUAGAUAACAAGAGAUUCUCAAUCUCCAAUGAGGACAUUCCGCUCUAAGGAAGCUUCCAGAUAGGGGAAAGCCCUGUUUUGUCCCCCUUUCUCCUCUGAGAUCUGAAAAAA
Molecule: non-coding RNA, 5102 nt
Organism: Mus caroli (Ryukyu mouse)
Lineage: Eukaryota; Metazoa; Chordata; Mammalia; Rodentia; Muridae
Source: RefSeq, a predicted model, not a curated record